GAUGAACGCUGGCGGCGUGCCUAAUACAUGCAAGUAGAACGCUGAAGGAAGGAGCUUGCUCUUUCCGGAUGAGUUGCGAACGGGUGAGUAACGCGUAGGUAACCUGCCUGGUAGCGGGGGAUAACUAUUGGAAACGAUAGCUAAUACCGCAUAACAGUAGAUGUUGCAUGACAACUAUUUGAAAGGGGCAAUUGCUCCACUACCAGAUGGACCUGCGUUGUAUUAGCUAGUUGGUGAGGUAACGGCUCACCAAGGCGACGAUACAUAGCCGACCUGAGAGGGUGAUCGGCCACACUGGGACUGAGACACGGCCCAGACUCCUACGGGAGGCAGCAGUAGGGAAUCUUCGGCAAUAGACGGAAGUCUGACCGAGCAACGCCGCGUGAGUGAAGAAGGUUGUCGGAUCGUAAAGCUCUGUUGUAAGAAAAGAACGAGUGUGAGAGUGGAAAGUUCACACUGUGACGGUAUCUUACCAGAAAGGGACGGCUAACUACGUG
RNAcentral lists this ribosomal RNA (497 nucleotides) under uncultured bacterium. Its description in RNAcentral is "partial 16S ribosomal RNA". It matches the Rfam family "Bacterial small subunit ribosomal RNA", at positions 28 to 507 of the family's 1533-position model. The record is from RNAcentral.